ACCAAUAUGACUAUUUGGUUACAUUUGGCUUUUGUUGCUUAGUUUAUUCUUACAUAGAUGGGCAGCUGGAUGUUAGGGAAAAACAGGGACAGGAAAGAGACUCCAUCCAGUGGCUCUCUGAAGAUUCACCCUUGUUAUCAGUCACUUGGGAUUCUGUUAUCAGAAUUUGGGAUUGCUUGUUAUCACAGCAUUACCUAGUCUACCCUGACUAAUACAAGGGCACUUUGAGAAUCUGAUGGAAGCUCAGGCCACAAGAAAACUGCACAUUCAUGCAAAAUUCAGAACCUUUCAAUUUUAAUGUCUUGAGAUUUCGUUGUGUUUCUAAGAUCCUUGAUGUCCCACAGCCUCCUCUUCUCAGCCUUGGAAUCUGAGGCACCUGGGUUGUAAGUGAUGCUAUGUCAGUGUUCACAAAGGCUCACAAGUCUGCGAAGUGGCCAAGAUGAGCUGACCCUGUCACCAUGGAGCAAGGCCUAUGUGUGCAAAUGAGUCAUGAGCUGAGAGGAAAGAGCUUGAGCCUGAGCUUUUUUUUUUCUUUUCUUUUCUUUUCUUUUUAUGAUGAUUGCUUGAGCCUGAGCUUGUUUGCCAGAUGCUUUCACUAGCCCAAGCUUGUUUUGUGGAUGCUUUCUGCUGCCAGCUACUUUGUAGUCCCUCCUGUGUGACAGCAUCUUGCCAUCAACGGGCUGCAGAAGAAGGGGUGCUUGUUGCUAUUGUGAGCAAACACUGCAUAAACAAUCAGCUCACAUGUGUGUCCCAGAGCGUAUGACCAAUGACCUGGAGAACUCUCAGGCUGUGGGGUGGAGAGAAGGCCAUUCUGAGGUCAACUGAAACCUCACUUGAGGGGCAGUUCCGUAGAUGGGAAUGAGGAGAGAGUCAUGGCCACAGCCACCUGGCCAAGGAGAGAGGCCAUAACUGCCAGACAGAACCAAGGAUGGAGGGACUUCAGCAGCACGAACAAUCCACACUCAGCAUGGGUCACUCUCUGGGACACACAUUUCCCUCUGGCUGAAAGGCUGAGCUGCUCCAGGGCCAACUGUGAGGUCAGACAGCUGCCCAGGGAUGUCUCCAGCCACUCAAGGGAAGAAGAGACCACUCACCUGUAAUUUCAACAGCAACAAAAGACCUGAGGUUCCACCAUCAGAACUUCACGCCCUAAGGAAGAUGCAGCAUUUCCUGUAAAAUGCAAGUGCUCCCAGGCAGAGGUAGCUCCCGAAGCCAUGAUCAGUUAUGUAUACCUUAGUGGCAGCUGAUUAACAGACUCUUCCCCAGAGCCAGCUGACAGGAAGCACAUCGGGGUAAAAGGGAAGAUGAAAACUUGGGUGCCUGGAGGAAGGGAACAAAUGCGAGCAGGAGCAUGAAACCCUGGGCCCCUUCCCCAGCUGUCAUGAAGGUGCCUGAGUGAUGGUCAGAGAGAUGACCGGAGGGGCCCACCCGGCCACCGCAGCAGCAGCAGCCAAGGCGGGACUAAGCCUCCACACCCCACAUCUCAGUCGUGGCCAGCCCGGGAUGCCUGCCUCUCCUGCCCUGUGGUGUUGCUGUCCUCAUAUGACCCUUCAGUCCCCCGACAUCUGGACAGGCUUUAGGGACCUGCUUGAGCAGAACAUGGUAGAAGUGAUGGACUGGGGCUUCUGAGGCUAAGCCAUAAGAAGCCUUGAGAAUUUCACCUGGCCCUCACUGUCUCUGGGAGCCCUGAGCCAUGAUAGAAGAAGUCCUUCCUAUAUUGAAUGUCCUUGAGACCUCCAGUACUGGAAAGGGCAUUUGUAGAUGCUCAGACCAACAGUCCAAACUGAGCCCAGUCUGCCAACUUGCCCUGCCAAGGUGUCAGAUGCAUAUGUGAAUGAGACCAUCCUAGACCUGCUGAUAGCCCAUCACCCGGCUGACUGCUACUGAGUAACCUCUGCCAACUUCACGCCGAACACAGAACUGCUGAUUUGAACUCUGCCUGAAUUUCUUGGCCCACAGAACAAUGAGAUAUAAUUAAAAGGCAAUGGUUCAAGCCA
This 1997-nucleotide long non-coding RNA is filed under the name Homo sapiens (human). RNAcentral's name for it is "HSALNT0381942". Lineage: Eukaryota; Metazoa; Chordata; Mammalia; Primates; Hominidae. The record is from RNAcentral.